UUUAUGAUAGUUUAAUUAAAAACAUUAUAUUUUCAAUAUAAAAUUAAUUUCUUUUUCAUAAAU
RNAcentral lists this transfer RNA (63 nucleotides) under Ooencyrtus plautus. Its description in RNAcentral is "tRNA-Glu". Lineage: Eukaryota; Metazoa; Arthropoda; Insecta; Hymenoptera; Encyrtidae. The record is from RNAcentral.